AGAGUUUGAUCAUGGCUCAGAAUCAACGCUGGCGGCGCGCUUAACACAUGCAAGUCGCACGAGAAAGCGGGAGCAAUCCCGCGAGUACAGUGGCGUACGGGUGAGUAACACGUGGGUGAUCUACCCUUUAGUGGGGAAUAACGCUGGGAAACCGGCGCUAAUACCGCAUAAGCUCGAGAGAGGAAAGCGGCUUUGUGAAAGCAGAGCCGCGCUGAAGGAGGAGCCCGCGGCCGAUUAGCUAGUUGGUAGGGUAAAAGCCUACCAAGGCAUAGAUCGGUAGCCGGCCUGAGAGGGCACACGGCCACACUGGCACUGAAACACGGGCCAGACUCCUACGGGAGGCAGCAGUGGGGAAUCUUGCACAAUGGGGGAAACCCUGAUGCAGCGACGCCGCGUGAGCGAUGAAGCCCUUCGGGGUGUAAAGCUCUUUCGGCAGGGACGAUAAUGACGGUACCUGCAGAAGCAGCUGCGGCUAACUACGUGCCAGCAGCCGCGGUAAUACGUAGGCAGCGAGCGUUGUUCGGAGUUACUGGGCGUAAAGGGUGUGUAGGCGGUUUUCUAAGUUUGGUGUGAAAUCUCCCGGCUCAACCGGGAGGGUGCGCCGAAAACUGGGAGACUAGAGUGCGGGAUGGGAGAGUAGAAUUCCUGGUGUAGCGGUGAAAUGCGUAGAUAUCAGGAGGAAUACCGGUGGUGUAGACGGCUCUCUGGACCGCCACUGACGCUGAGACACGAAAGCGUGGGUAGCAAACAGGAUUAGAUACCCUAGUAGUCC
This 772-nucleotide ribosomal RNA is filed under the name uncultured bacterium. RNAcentral's name for it is "bacterial SSU rRNA". It matches the Rfam family "Bacterial small subunit ribosomal RNA", at positions 8 to 796 of the family's 1533-position model. The record is from RNAcentral.